Long non-coding RNA from Ornithodoros turicata, 667 nucleotides. RefSeq lists it as uncharacterized. The transcript has 3 exons. Lineage: Eukaryota; Metazoa; Arthropoda; Arachnida; Ixodida; Argasidae. The record is from RefSeq and is a predicted model, not a curated record.
UCUUCUAAGCACGUGGUUAUCCCCCCAUAUAGGUCGACACAGCUUCACGCAAGGUUAAAUAACAACGAUGCACUAGCGACACCUUCAGGAAGACCAGCCUUCAUAAACAACGUGUCAAGCGUUAUACGACUCUGCGAUCUCUUAGAGCGAUGUGAUCUGUUUCCACUAACGGCGACAUUUUGCGUCAACACGUGUGCAAAAGGAAAAGGUUUCUAUGCAGGGCGCACGGUGGGCGUGUGACACCAUAUGGCUGAAAGAAUCUGUACCUGUAACACGAAAAUGAGCUGAAAGCACUUUUCUUCCGUGGUCGGCACCUGACGUACUCAGCAAGUCACAGCGAUGGAAAACGACCGCACUGACUGCAUCAACCGUGCCGAAGGAAGCGGGAAAGAUACCACACGUGUUGACUGACGGAUUUUCAGCCCCGACAUCGGCAACCAUGAACUUAUUUGCUACGUGUGUUCCUCUAAAAAGUGUGCGCCCGUUUGGAUUCGGCAGUGGGCAUUGCGGCUCCGAUAUGUGGGUUACCCUGAACCAUUUUUUUACUCUUCACACAGGUGAGAAACGAUUUUCAACUAAAUACUAAGAAAAGUAGUAACAGAUUGCUCUUGGAGCUACCUUGCCCACUUGCUUUGUACUGGAUACCAUGUGCGAAUGCUACCGUGUU